UCCAGACUCCUACGGGAGGCAGCAGUGGGGAAUAUUGCGCAAUGGGCGAAAGCCUGACGCAGCGACGCCGCGUGAGGGAUGAAGGUCUUCGGAUCGUAAACCUCUGUCAGCAGGGAAGAACGGUCACUGUGCUAAUCAGCAGUGAAUUGACGGUACCUGCAAAGGAAGCCCCGGCUAACUACGUGCCAGCAGCCGCGGUAAUACGUAGGGGGCAAGCGUUAUCCGGAUUUACUGGGUGUAAAGGGAGCGUAGACGGCUGUGCAAGUCUGAAGUGAAAGGCGGGGGCCCAACCCCCGGACUGCUUUGGAAACUGUGCUGCUGGAGUGCAGGGGAGGCAAGUGGAAUUCCUAGUGUAGCGGUGAAAUGCGUAGAUAUUAGGAGGAACACCAGUGGCGAAGGCGGCUUACUGGACUGUAACUGACGUUGAGGCUCGAAAGCGUGGGGAGCAAACAGGAUUAGAUACCCCCGUAA
This 471-nucleotide ribosomal RNA is filed under the name uncultured bacterium. RNAcentral describes it as "bacterial SSU rRNA". It matches the Rfam family "Bacterial small subunit ribosomal RNA", at positions 330 to 793 of the family's 1533-position model. The record is from RNAcentral.